ACUGCUCAGUAACACGUAGUCAACAUGCCCAGAGGACGUGGAUAACCUCGGGAAACUGAGUCUAAACCGCGAUAAGUGAGGAUUUCUGGAAUGGUUCCUGACUAAAAUCUAUAUGGCCUCUGGAUUGGACUGCGGCCGAUCAGGCUGUUGGUGAGGUAAUGGCCCACCAAACCUGUAACCGGUACGGGCUCUGAGAGGAGGAGCCCGGAGAUGGGCACUGAGACAAGGGCCCAGGCCCUAUGGGGCGCAGCAGGCGCGAAAACUCUGCAAUAAGCGAAAGCUUGACAGGGUUAUUCUGAGUGAUUUCCGCUAAGGAAAUCUUUUGGCACCUCUAAAAAUGGUGCAGAAUAAGGGGUGGGCAAGCCUGGUGUCAGCCGCCGCGGUAAUACCAGCACCCCGAGUGGUCGGGACGAUUAUUGGGCCUAAAGCAUCCGUAGCCGGUUCUACAAGUCUUCCGUUAAAUCCACCUGCUCAACAGAUGGGCUGCGGAGGAUACUAUAGAGCUAGGAGGCGGGAGAGGCAAGCGGUACUUAGUGGGUAGGGGUAAAAUCCGUUGAUCCAUUGAAGACCACCAGUGGCGAAGGCGGCUUGCCAGAACGCACUCGACGGUGAGGGAUGAAAGCUGGGGGAGCAAACCGGAUUAGAUACCCGGGUAGUCCCAGCUGUAAACGAUGCAGACUCGGUGAUGAAUAGGCUUCGUGCCUAUUCAGUGCCGCAGGGAAGCCGUUAAGUCUGCCGCCUGGGGAGUACGGUCGCAAGACUGAAACUUAAAGGAAUUGGCGGGGGAGCA
This 790-nucleotide ribosomal RNA is filed under the name uncultured archaeon. RNAcentral describes it as "bacterial SSU rRNA". It matches the Rfam family "Archaeal small subunit ribosomal RNA", at positions 85 to 878 of the family's 1478-position model. The record is from RNAcentral.